This 520-nucleotide ribosomal RNA is filed under the name uncultured bacterium. RNAcentral describes it as "bacterial SSU rRNA". It matches the Rfam family "Bacterial small subunit ribosomal RNA", at positions 777 to 1297 of the family's 1533-position model. The record is from RNAcentral.
AAUAGAUACCCCGGUAGUCCACGCCGUAAACGAUGUCGACUUGGAGGUUGUGCCCUUGAGGCGUGGCUUCCGGAGCUAACGCGUUAAGUCGACCGCCUGGGGAGUACGGCCGCAAGGUUAAAACUCAAAUGAAUUGACGGGGGCCCGCACAAGCGGUGGAGCAUGUGGUUUAAUUCGAUGCAACGCGAAGAACCUUACCUACUCUUGACAUCCAGAGAACUUAGCAGAGAUGCUUUGGUGCCUUCGGGAACUCUGAGACAGGUGCUGCAUGGCUGUCGUCAGCUCGUGUUGUGAAAUGUUGGGUUAAGUCCCGCAACGAGCGCAACCCUUAUCCUUUGUUGCCAGCGGUUAGGCCGGGAACUCAAAGGAGACUGCCAGUGAUAAACUGGAGGAAGGUGGGGAUGACGUCAAGUCAUCAUGGCCCUUACGAGUAGGGCUACACACGUGCUACAAUGGCAUAUACAAAGAGAAGCGACCUCGCGAGAGCAAGCGGACCUCAUAAAGUAUGCCGUAGUCCGGA